Molecule: long non-coding RNA, 363 nt
Organism: Cephus cinctus (wheat stem sawfly)
Lineage: Eukaryota; Metazoa; Arthropoda; Insecta; Hymenoptera; Cephidae
Exons: 3
Source: RefSeq, a predicted model, not a curated record
GAAAAUCACAAACGUGUCAUUUUUAACAAACAAAUUCGGACAGUGACAUAUCAUGAAAAUUUCAUGUUUUAAAAAGAUUGUAUACUAUAUGAAAUCAUAUAUGACAUAAACCACAUCGUAUGCAAUACUAGUAUAUUUUAACACCUCAUCAAAAUCAAUAUGGCAAAAAGAGCUUUACGUCAUUCAUUUGUUAACAGCUCUGUUAUUUAUGGUGGCAUUGUAAUUAUAGUAAUAGCUGCUGUGAUAGCGGGAUUUACUUGGUGGUUCAAACACAAACGUACUCAAGGAUAAUCCAACUAGAAUAACAAUGCACUUGAGUAUAUACCAGAUACCUACGUCUUUGAAACUCAAAUUAACCUGCUU